UCUAUCCAGAUAGCUGGCAGCUCCAAGAAGGCUUUCACAGGCAGUCUACUAUGUGACUGGAGAAAGGCAUUUUUAAUUGCAGUAGAUAUCCAGAGAUUUCUGGUAUCUUUGUGGAUUCAUGAAUUCUGCUUGAUACUAGCUGCUGGAUUUUAUUCCUGGAAAUAUGAUAGUCAGCAAUGCUGCUGCUUAGACAAGGUGUAUGUGCCAGAGGCUUGAAAUUUUAGGAAGUCACUUUAAACACUUAAUUUGUUUCAUUGAAAGUCACACAGUCAGUAAUUUAGAUGCCUGUAUCAGAAUCUUCUUUGCCUCUAAACAUAAUCAGAAGUGCUUCUAUUGCUGUGACCAUAGAGGAGACCUAGUUUGUUAUGGGUGUUAUGCAACCUCAUUACAGAGACCAUCUCCCAGAACAACAGGAGCCUCUGGGGAGAAAAUGAAUGUACGAUGGGACUGAUUGACUUGUUUGGUUUUUAACCCUUAGUUUUCUGAGACUCUAUUUAAAACAAGAGUGGGGAUAAAAAGCCUAGGUGCACCAACCCCUACUAGACACUUCAAAACACAGCUGUAUGCCAUUAUAUAUACGCCUGUUUUGCAGUGAUUUCAGAUAGGAACAAGGGCAGUUCAAAUACAACCUACAAUGCUGUUAUAGUAAAAGAAAUGUAAGAGUGGUGUGACUUUUUUUUUCUUGGAAGCGAUGUUUAAUUUAUACUUAAUUUGUGCAUUUAAGGUUCCGAUAGUGAAGAGGAUGACGAUACCAAACUAAUAAUGAAAAGGAGUUUAGAAGAAACAAAGAAACAAGAAGAGGAUGAUGCAGAAUUAGAAGAAGCUAUCAAGAGAAGCCUUGAGGAAAUGUAAAUGAGAAUACUUCUGUAUGCUAAUACUUUGUCAUCAAAGCUGCUCACAAAAAUGGAAGCUUAUUCACCUAUUUACAAAGGCUUAGAAAUUCUGCUUCAAAAACAUGUCUGUAUCUUGAAUUGUUACAUCUAUAACCUCAUGUUCUCUGUAAUGCUGACGGGCAGCUGGAGUUUAUGUAUAUCUGCUGCAAUAUAUUCUGUAUGAUAAAAAAUACAUUUUUAAGCCUUUACACAUUCUGUUUCUAAUGGAUGAUGGCAAACUCUCACUGGUCUAGCUGUAUAAAUUGUUGCCCAGUCAGUGGGCUGAUGUUACUAUAUGUUUGGUUGUUUUUUGUUUUGUUUUAAUUAUUUUAUUAAUUGGUUCUUAUAUUUAAUUUUUCUGUCACAAAAUGUGAUUGUCUUUAUUUACUUUUCCAUGUGGUCUUUGCAACAGAUAAAAAUAGUAAACUCAAUUGUCUCAGACUGACUUGCUUAGCUAAUCUUGUUAUAAAGAGAAGCUUAGUUCCCAGACAUGUAAAUUGAACAUAGUCUCAACUCUUGUACAGGGAUGGUCUUGUCUUAUAGAGCACAGUUUUUUUCUAUACGUUGUCUGUUAUAAAUGGCAGAAUCAGGACCAUGAACUGCACAGAUACUUUCUGUUAUCUUUAUUUUUAUAAAUGUGUCUAUUUUUUUAAUAGUGGCAUGGAAGCGUUGGCUUGAAGUAUGCCAGGUUUGGUACCUCUUUCUGAUCUAAGGAAGGAACAAAUUUGAAAGUGAACAAAAGCUAAGUAAACUUUCCAGUUCCAGUUUGAAAUAGAUGUGAACCAAUUUCAGACGUCUAAUUCCUAUAUACUGGCCAUCUUUACUGCUCCCUUCUGUUUAUGAAGACGUGGCCUGGGAUAGGGAAAUUUUUGUUUUUGUACUGUCCUUAUUUUUAAGUGAAUAAUUCUUCUUGUGUUUAAAAUGAAGCUGUCUCUAUGCCACCUUUCUCAUUUCCUCCUUUUAAGAUACUAAUGCUAGCUGUCCAGCUUUACCAGCUUAUUCUACUUUAUGAUUGUUGUUAAUCAGUAAGAAAUAUUUAUGUAACAAAAUGCCAGCUUUUCUUUUUAUCCAUUACCUUGUGAGUUUGCUUGCAACUGUUGUAAAUCUAAAUAUUUAUUAUGCAAAAGAAAUACUUAGUUUUGGAGAGUAUGAGAAGAGGAAAGCUAGAUUUUACUUGCCAUCAGUUCCAAAGAAUUAGAAUAACUACUGUAUGUUGUUCAUGAUUAUAAAAGCUGGAAUACUGACACUGAUUUUCCUCAUGUAUUUGCUGUCUCUCAAGCAACUCAUCAGAUUCUUCACUAGUUUUUAUCUCUGAACUCAUUUGCAAUCAUACAACCUGAAGAAACAGUUGAAUCUCCAGAAAACAGAUUGAACAUUGUCAGUGAAUUGGCUCUGAAAAUGCUACAGAGUGAAGAGAAUCUCAUGAUGUUUUUUCCACUGCGUCAACUGCUUGUUUUCCCACUGUAAAUUUUGGAUUAAUAGUUCAGUUUGGGGUGUGCAGUGCCACACUGCUGCUGAGCAAGCACUGUUCUAGGAGAUGCUGAGUUGCCUUCAGCUAAUGACUCAAGCUAAAUCAAUUUCAGAAUUUUUCACACUGAGUUCUAAUAUAAAGUGGAAUGAGACAAAGCUUUCAUUAUUCCAAGUAAGAGGUUUUGGGAAGGUUUUUUCAGCACAGACACUCAAGUUGCAAAUUCUUUUCUCAUUAAAAAAUGUUUCAUCUUGA
This is a non-coding RNA of Meleagris gallopavo (turkey), 2595 nucleotides long. The record is from RefSeq and is a predicted model, not a curated record. Lineage: Eukaryota; Metazoa; Chordata; Aves; Galliformes; Phasianidae.